Molecule: ribosomal RNA, 376 nt
Filed under: Amynthas yambaruensis
Lineage: Eukaryota; Metazoa; Annelida; Clitellata; Crassiclitellata; Megascolecidae
Description: partial 16S ribosomal RNA
Rfam family: Bacterial large subunit ribosomal RNA
Source: RNAcentral
AACGGCCGCGGUAUCCUAACCGUGCAAAGGUAGCAUAAUCAUUUGCCUAUUAAUUGUAGGCUAGAAUGAACGGGUUAACGAAAUAAAGACUGUCUCAAUUAAUUACCUAAAAAUUAUUUUCUAUCUGAAGAAAGGUAGAUAAUCUCGAAGGACAAGAAGACCCUAUAGAGCUUAAUUUUAAUUAUAGAACUAAACUAUAAAAAUAUUCGGUUGGGGCGACCCUGGGCUAAAUAAUCACCCACUAAAUAAAAGAUAAAUAAAUCUAAUAAAUGACCCUAUAAAGAUCAUAAAAACAAGCUACCUUAGGGAUAACAGGCUAAUCCCACUUAAGAGUCCUUAUCAACAGUGGGGUUUGGCACCUCGAUGUUGGCUUAGG